UGCAAGUCGAGCGAACGGACGAGAAGCUUGCUUCUCUGAUGUUAGCGGCGGACGGGUGAGUAACACGUGGAUAACCUACCUAUAAGACUGGGAUAACUUCGGGAAACCGGAGCUAAUACCGGAUAAUAUUUUGAACCGCAUGGUUCAAAAGUGAAAGACGGUCUUGCUGUCACUUAUAGAUGGAUCCGCGCUGCAUUAGCUAGUUGGUAAGGUAACGGCUUACCAAGGCAACGAUGCAUAGCCGACCUGAGAGGGUGAUCGGCCACACUGGAACUGAGACACGGUCCAGACUCCUACGGGAGGCAGCAGUAGGGAAUCUUCCGCAAUGGGCGAAAGCCUGACGGAGCAACGCCGCGUGAGUGAUGAAGGUCUUCGGAUCGUAAAACUCUGUUAUUAGGGAAGAACAUAUGUGUAAGUAACUGUGCACAUCUUGACGGUACCUAAUCAGAAAGCCACGGCUAACUACGUGCCAGCAGCCGCGGUAAUACGUAGGUGGCAAGCGUUAUCCGGAAUUAUUGGGCGUAAAGCGCGCGUAGGCGGUUUUUUAAGUCUGAUGUGAAAGCCCACGGCUCAACCGUGGAGGGUCAUUGGAAACUGGAAAACUUGAGUGCAGAAGAGGAAAGUGGAAUUCCAUGUGUAGCGGUGAAAUGCGCAGAGAUAUGGAGGAACACCAGUGGCGAAGGCGACUUUCUGGUCUGUAACUGACGCUGAUGUGCGAAAGCGUGGGGAUCAAACAGGAUUAGAUACCCUGGUAGUCCACGCCGUAAACGAUGAGUGCUAAGUGUUAGGGGGUUUCCGCCCCUUAGUGCUGCAGCUAACGCAUUAAGCACUCCGCCUGGGGAGUACGACCGCAAGGUUGAAACUCAAAGGAAUUGACGGGGACCCGCACAAGCGGUGGAGCAUGUGGUUUAAUUCGAAGCAACGCGAAGAACCUUACCAAAUCUUGACAUCCUUUGACAACUCUAGAGAUAGAGCCUUCCCCUUCGGGGGACAAAGUGACAGGUGGUGCAUGGUUGUCGUCAGCUCGUGUCGUGAGAUGUUGGGUUAAGUCCCGCAACGAGCGCAACCCUUAAGCUUAGUUGCCAUCAUUAAGUUGGGCACUCUAAGUUGACUGCCGGUGACAAACCGGAGGAAGGUGGGGAUGACGUCAAAUCAUCAUGCCCCUUAUGAUUUGGGCUACACACGUGCUACAAUGGACAAUACAAAGGGCAGCGAAACCGCGAGGUCAAGCAAAUCCCAUAAAGUUGUUCUCAGUUCGGAUUGUAGUCUGCAACUCGACUACAUGAAGCUGGAAUCGCUAGUAAUCGUAGAUCAGCAUGCUACGGUGAAUACGUUCCCGGGUCUUGUACACACCGCCCGUCACACCACGAGAGUUUGUAACACCCGAAGCCGGUGGAGUAACCUUU
Molecule: ribosomal RNA, 1406 nt
Filed under: Staphylococcus sp. II_B11
Lineage: Bacteria; Bacillati; Bacillota; Bacilli; Caryophanales; Staphylococcaceae
Also listed under: 1 other name
Description: bacterial SSU rRNA
Rfam family: Bacterial small subunit ribosomal RNA
Source: RNAcentral